ACGACUAAUACGACUAAUACGACUAAUGUUUGUAAUAAUCCUGCUAAAACUGAUAAAAUUAAUGUUAUGUUACAAUUUUGGUUAAAAAAGAUAAAAAAAAUAUCAUCAGUUAUUGUUUUUUGUGUUAAUUGGCAAAACAUAAAUAGUGAAAACAAUAAUAACACAAAUAUAUAUAAAAGAGAAAGUGAUGGUUAUACAAUAAGUAAAGAGCAUGAAAAUAACAAUAAGAAUGAAAUAAAUCAAUUAAACAUAAAUGAUCCUAAUUGGGAGCAACAUAACACUUACACUGUUAACUCUCAUAAUAUAUAUCAAGAUGGAUAUAACGUACAAACAAUGGGUAAGGAAAAUAGUACAAAUGUGGCACAAAUAAAUGUAGACACUUCAAUACAAUUUAAUCAGAGUAAACCAAGUCAUAACGAACUUUACCCAAAUCAAUCUUAUCCAUACGAACUAUACCCAAAUGAACCUUACCCAAACCAAUCAUAUCCAAACCAAUCAUAUCCAAACCAAUCAUAUCUUAACGAACCAUAUCCUAACGAUUCUUAUCCUAACGAUUCUUACCCAAACGAAUAUAGUAAAAAUAAAUAUAGUAAAAACGAAUAUAGUAAAAACGAGUGUAACCCCGAAAAUAGUGAAAAUGUUAAACGAAUUAGUAUUAAACAUAAGGAGUUUAUGAAUCACAUAAACAAUAAUUUAAUUAAAAAGUUAGAAGAAAUAAAUAGUAUAAUUAUGAAAAGAAAAAAGCAAUGUAAAAUAAUUUUGUUAAUAAUAUUACCAGAGAAUACUGAAUAUACAGAAGAAUAUAUUAAAUAUAUAAGUUUUUUAAAUUCUCAAAAUAUUAGUGCCAUAUUUAUAACAUCAGGUUUAAAAGAAAUUCGUGUAAAAAUAAAAAAAUUAGAAAAUUUAUUAAAAGAUUGUAUUAACACAUUUUUUAAACAAUAUAUAAUAAAUUAUGAUAAUAAGAGUCAUAAAAAUAUAUUAAGUUUUUUUAAAUAUAAUUUAAAAAAAGCUUAUAUAUUUGAAAUGUUAGAUAAAUAUGAUGAGAGUAUGAAAAUAUAUGUAAAUUUAUGUAAACUAUUUUAUGAAAACAUAAAUGAAAAAUUGUUUUUAAAUAAAAAUACAUUUUUUGAACAUGUUAUAUGUUUUAAUUCGAUUAGUAUAAGGAUGAUAUUUAUUUAUUUAUAUUUUAAAGAUUUUAAAAAAACUAUACAUCACAUUUAUACACAUAACAAAAUUAUUUUUUUAGCUUUAAUGAAUACAGAAGAAUAUAUAAAUGAAGAAGAUAAUAAAAACUUGUUGAAAAUAAUUAAUAUGUUUGGUAUAACAGGUAAAUGUGAUUUUAUAAAUUAUAUAAAAUAUUAUAAGCAUGAUAAUGUAAUAAGUAGUGAUACAUGCGAAUAUGCGAGUAGUAGUACUACUAGUCGUAAUAUGGUCGAUAGUGUAAUGAGUAUUGAGACUUACAAAAAUAUACAUAACAAUAUAAAUAUAUUGUGUAAUACAAAGGAUGAUAAAUCAACUGAAUUAUUAUAUUUAUUAUAUGAACUAAUAAUGAGAGAAUAUUUAUAUUACAAUUUACUUACAUGUAUAUAUCUAUAUUUUCAUCGUAUUAUUAAAAAAAUGAAUAUAAAUAUGCACGAUGUUGUAUUAUAUGGUAUUUAUAGUUGUUUUUGUGUAUAUUAUAAAAUAAAGGCACUUGAAAAAAAAAAAAAAUUAUUUGAUGAAUUUAAAUAUUUACAAUUUAAUAAUUAUUUUAAAGUUUUAUCAGUAUCUUUUUUAUAUGAUUUUAUUUUAAAUUUUUUAAUCGAAUUAUAUAAUAUUAUAAGUAUAAAUAAAAUAAUGAAUUUAGGAACAAUUGUUAUUUAUUUUUUAUGUAAAAUAUAUUAUGAAAAAAAAAAUUAUAUGUUUUCAUUAUAUUUAUUGAUGCUUUUUUUUAAUAAUGAAGAAGAAUUAUUUAUUUUUAAUUCGAUUGAUGAUACUGUUCUAAAAAGUAGAAAAUAUGAUUUGAUUCAUUUUUAUGAGUCUUUUUGGCGAUUUAGUGGUUAUAAAACGUACUUAAAACCUUGCUCCAGAGACGUUCAAGAACCUAUGAUAUGUUUAGUACUUAGUUGCCUUGGGUUUUUAUUAAAUUAUGACAAGGUGAGUACAAACAUAGAUAAAGAAUAUUUAAAAAAUGAAUCUUUUGAUAUAAAAGAGUAUGAUGCAUUAUUUAUUGAAAUAUGUUUUGGGUAUUUAAAUAUUUUAAUUAUGAAUAAAAAAUAUAAGGAACAGAAAGAGUUCAGUGAUUUUAUGCAAAAGUAUUUCAAAUUUGUAGAUAAAAAACAAUCUUAUUUACCUUUAUAUAAUAUUGAUAUAUUUCUUUGUGAUAUUUAUAUUAACUUAUAUUACUUAUUGGAAAAUAAUAAUUAUAGAAUUUUUUUAAGAAUAAAAAACAAAAGUCAUGUUAAUUUUUUUUUUUUACCAUUACUUGGAAUCGUAAUAAAUAAAGAAAUAUAUAUGUUUAAUUUAAAAUAUUCUAAUAGUUAUGAAGAUAUUCAUUUUUUAUUUGGUCAACUUUUGAAUAAUGAUGAGGAUGAUGAGGAUUAUGCGGGUUAUGAGCAUGAUAAUGUUAAUGAUGUAUGUAAAAAUGAUUUGUUUUUACGAAAGUAUAUAACACAAGAAAUGGAAACAUCUUUGGCGCAGAUGUUUACUAUCACUGAUAGUACCAAUAAUAGUCGCAAUCAGAAUAAUAAUAGUUUUUUACGGUUAAACAAUAAAAAUAGUAUUAGUCUUAUAUUAAAAAAAAGCAAAAUGAAUGAAGUAUACAUAGAACAAGUUGAAUUAUAUAUGUAUAUAUAUAAAAAAAUUAUAAAAUUAAAAAUAAAAAAAAUUAUAACUUGUAAAUUAAAAACAGAGUAUUUAGAAGAAGUAAAUGUGUUAAAAGACAUGAAUAAAAAAUAUGAAGGAGAUUUAAACAAAACAAAAUUCAAUACAAAUAAUAAUAUGACACAUAUGAUUGAACAAAAUGUAGAGGAAAAUAAUAUGGUUACAUUGUUAUGUACUGCUGAAACAAAAAAAAAUGAAACAAAAGAGUUAACGAAAGAGAAUGUUAUAUAUAAAAUACAUACACCAACGGAAAUAGGAAUAGAAGAAAAAAACACAAACUUGAAAACUUAUGAUUCAAUUAUUAAUAAUGAAAAUAAAAAAAAAUAUAUAUUAUUUGAAAUAAGGAAGAAUAAUAAAGAUGAAGAUAUUGCAACUAUUUAUAAAUUAAAAGAAAGAUUAUAUUUAAAUAAAUGUGAAAAUAAAAUAGUUGUUAAUGUAAAUAAAUCAUUAUAUAAAAAAUUAUCAAAUAAAUACGUCAAUUAUUUUAUUUAUCCUAAUAAUAAUGUUUUAUAUUUAAAUGAAUAUAACAUUGGUUAUAUUUUUGUGAACUAUUCAAAAUAUAUUAACAAUUUUGAGUUUUAUGUAUCUUAUACAUCAGAUAAUGCUAAUAACUUAUCUUUGUUUUUUUUAACAAAACAUGAACAUGUCAUAAGUGUACAACAAAUCGAAGAAAAAGAACAAGUUGCAUUUAUUAAGGAUACAAAUAUAUUUAAAUUGUUAGAAGGUGAAAAAAGGAAAAAAAAAAAAUAAUGACAAUUUGGAUAAAACUGUUAGCAAAAAAAAGCGAACCGAGUUAGGUAUUAUACCAAAUAAAGUCGGAUUAAAUUCGAAAUUUGUUGAAAAA
Piliocolobus tephrosceles (Ugandan red Colobus) is the source of this 3706-nucleotide long non-coding RNA. The record is from Ensembl. NCBI's taxonomy places the organism in Eukaryota, Metazoa, Chordata, Mammalia, Primates, Cercopithecidae.